Prionailurus viverrinus (fishing cat) is the source of this 1927-nucleotide long non-coding RNA. RefSeq lists it as uncharacterized. Lineage: Eukaryota; Metazoa; Chordata; Mammalia; Carnivora; Felidae. The transcript has 3 exons. The record is from RefSeq and is a predicted model, not a curated record.
GCCGCCGCGAGGAAGGGGCGGCGGCGGGGGGACCCCGCGCACGGCACGUGGCCCGCGGUGGGGUCGCCCCGCUAGCGCUCGGCCGGGCCCGGGCCCGCUGGGCGGCCUCGGGUGGGACGUCGGCCUUCCCAGGGCCCCCCUCUCCCCUCGCGCUCGUCGCCAGAGAGGGGGAAGGUGGCGCCCUCCCCCGAUGGGAUCCGGAACUUAAAAUCCGGAAACCACCAGGCCACGCCUGGCCUAACUUCGCAGGGUGGCCCUGAGCGCGGUGCUGGGCCUCACAGGCCUCCAUAUUCCCGACUCGGUUUAGCUCAGGCCCCCUCCAGGCCUGUGAACGUGCUGUUCUCUCUCUCCGGGACACUAUCCCCAGCUGCCCCAGGGCCAGCCCUGGCUUACUGUUUGGCUGUCAGGCCCACGAUGGUCCCUGGGGGGCUCUCUGGCCCUAGCCUCCUGGAAUGGUCUUGGACCCGGAUGUGAGCUCCUGAUAAUCUGACUUGGUCAGGCUGCCAGGUGAUGUGUUCCUGCAGCAUGGUUCUGGCCAGGCGGAGAACUGGGCCUUCCAGGCAGAAGGAACUGGGCAGAGCCUGGAGGGUUUAAUCCCAGGCUAAGCGUGGAGUUUACCUGGCAGGUCUCCUUCGGAUCAGAGGGCAGGUGAUGGACUGUUCCCUGUUGUUGCCCGGCCCGGUCUACCUACAAUAAGGUAACUUCUCCUUGGAUGCUCUGUGAAUGCCCUGAUCCCCAACAAACUUUGAUCCAGUGAUUUUUAGCAUGUGCGGAUGCUGCUUGCCUGAAUCAAUUAUCACUGAGGUGGUUUAACUGGUUUACAAGGUGCUUUGGGUUGGGGGAAGACCAUCCUAAUCAUUCCUCAAGGUCCUUCCAUGAGCCAAAGAACAGAAACUCCCCCCAAGCCUGUUUGCCUUCUGGGCACGCCCUGCCAGCUGGGAAUCCCCUACUCUAGUCAGGUGUUUGAUCCUUGGGAGAGACUGAGAGGAUGGAGAAACCAUUAGUUUCAUUUGCUAGAAGAGGAAGCUGAGGCCCAGGGAGAGGAGAGAAGUGGCCAGUAGUGGAAUAGCUCCUCCCGAGGAGUCUCUGGGCUCCAUGGACGAGGGUGGGCGUUUGGGAAGGAGACUUUCAGGCAGAAUAAUGGGCAGGGUUUCUGGGUCCAGGUUGGGGCUCUCUGACCCCUGACAGCCCCCCUCCCCGGUCCCUGUUAUCUGUGUAAGUUCUAGGUUGCCAAAUUUCGCAGAUAAAAAUAUAGGGUGCCCAGUUAAAUUUGAAUUUUAGUUAAACAAUGAACUUUUUUUUAGUAGUUAAGUAUGUCCCAGUUGCUGCAUCAAAAAUUACACUAAAACCUCAUGAUGUCUAGGAUGUUUGGACUGACACUCGGGUUGCCAAGUAAGAUAUAGGACAUCCAGUUCAAUUCUAAUUUCAGGGUACCGAUGAAUAAUUUUUAAACUCAGAUGUAGCGAAUAAAAGCAUGUGUGGCAGGUGUUGUCAGAUGCAAGAAAUGAGGCAGGUGACAUUGGUGGGCCUUGAAUGCUGGGAUGAGCUGCCCUUCUGUCAGAGUAGAUGACAGCCCUGGAAGAAGGGACUUGAGCUUGGAAGGCCCUUGCCAGACAGUUCUAGAAAGCUCCCUCUGGGGGCAUCUGGCUGGCUCAGUUGGUAGAGCAUGCGACUGUCGAUCUCGGGUCGUGAGUCCAAGCCCCAAAGAGAAAGCUUCCUCUGGCUGUGGGAGGCGGGGAGUGUGGGCAGAGGCGAGCAAGACUGAAGGUCAGGGACCAAUCAGGGGGCAGCUGCAGUGACCAGUGACAUGCCAUAAGGUUCAGACUAAUGCUCAGGGGAUGUAAAGAGCGUUCAGGGGGCGGGCAGGACCUAUGGGGCCUGAGGUCCACCAGGUCAGGAAGGGGGGCAGGAGGCCUCUGGCCUGGCA